AGGUGGCGUCACUGAGAAUAGCAAUGAUCAGAUUCGUGAUUCCGUGGUAGAGAUUAAGAAAAUACGGGAUUCUAUUCUUCGUAAGGAAUUCAUACUUCAAGAUGGAAGUGCUCAAUGUGAUAUGGACAUUCAUAAAAUUAAGAUGGACAUUCAGAAAAUUAAGACUGAAAAGAAGAUGACAAAAGAAGUGUUGUCAACAAUGGAGAAAUAUAAGGAACCUAGCUCAAAUAUAAUGAAAGUUGCCAAUCUAA
Triticum aestivum (bread wheat) is the source of this 251-nucleotide long non-coding RNA. RefSeq lists it as uncharacterized. The record is from RefSeq and is a predicted model, not a curated record. The transcript is spliced from 3 exons. NCBI's taxonomy places the organism in Eukaryota, Viridiplantae, Streptophyta, Magnoliopsida, Poales, Poaceae.